GCCAGACUCCUACGGGAGGCAGCAGUGAGGAAUAUUGGUCAAUGGCCGCAGGGCUGAACCAGCCAAGUCGCGUGAGGGAAGACGGUCCUACGGAUUGUAAACCUCUUUUGCCGGGGAGCAACGGGGUCCUUGCGAGGGCCCGAUGAGAGUACCCGGAGAAAAAGCAUCGGCUAACUCCGUGCCAGCAGCCGCGGUAAUACGGAGGAUGCGAGCGUUAUCCGGAUUUAUUGGGUUUAAAGGGUGCGCAGGCGGGAGAUCAAGUCAGCGGUAAAAUGUCGGGGCUCAACCCCGGCCGGCCGUUGAAACUGGUUUUCUAGAGUUGGAGAGAAGUAUGCGGAAUUCGUGGUGUAGCGGUGAAAUGCAUAGAUAUCACGAAGAACUCCGAUUGCGAAGGCAGCAUACCGGCUCCAUACUGACGCUGAGGCACGAAAGCGUGGGGAUCGAACAGGAUUAGAUACCCCUGUAAAG
RNAcentral lists this ribosomal RNA (468 nucleotides) under uncultured bacterium. RNAcentral describes it as "bacterial SSU rRNA". It matches the Rfam family "Bacterial small subunit ribosomal RNA", at positions 330 to 793 of the family's 1533-position model. The record is from RNAcentral.